Molecule: ribosomal RNA, 261 nt
Filed under: uncultured prokaryote
Description: partial 16S ribosomal RNA
Rfam family: Bacterial small subunit ribosomal RNA
Source: RNAcentral
UACGGAGGAUCCUAGUGUUAUCCGGAUUUAUUGGGUUUAAAGGGAGCGUAGGCGGGAGGUCAAGUCAGCUGUGAAAUGUAUCUGCUUAACGGGUACACUGCAGUUGAAACUGGUUUUCUUGAGUGCGUAAGAGGCAGGCGGAAUUCGUUGUGUAGCGGUGAAAUGCUUAGAUAUGACGAGGAACUCCUAUUGCGAAGGCAGCUUGCUGGGUCGUUACUGACGCUGAUGCUCGAAGGUGCGGGGAUCAAACAGGAUUAGAUA